RNAcentral lists this unclassified non-coding RNA (218 nucleotides) under uncultured Tomentella. RNAcentral describes it as "sequence contains ITS2". The record is from RNAcentral. Lineage: Eukaryota; Fungi; Basidiomycota; Agaricomycetes; Thelephorales; Thelephoraceae.
GCACCUCAACUCUCAUGGCUUGCCAUGAUGAGCUUGGACUUUGGGGGUCUUGCUGGCCUGCGGUCGGCUCCUCUCAAAUGAAUCAGCUUGCCAGUGUUUGGUGGCAUCACAGGUGUGAUAACUAUCUACGCUUGUGGUUUUCCACCAGGUAACCUUCAGUGAUGGAGGUUCGCUGGAGCUCAUAAAUGUCUCUCCUCGGUGAGGACAGCUCUUUGAAC